UCAUCCCAGGUCUUGGGAGGCUGAGGCAGGAGAAUCGUCUCGAGUUCGAGGCCAGCCUGGGCUACAUAGUAAACCCCGUCUCAAAAAACCAACAACAAAAAAGCGAAGUGUGACACUACUCGAAGCCAGUCUGGCUGUGGAGAACCCACCACCCAGCUUCACCGUCCAAAAGGGUCGAUGGCACCACAUUUUCCAGUUUUCUCAACCGUGCUGAGGCAGGGAGAGGAGUCAUCCAGAGCCGCUGAAGGGCGUGGGGAGAGUCAGGGUUUAAAAAUAGCCGCGACCCAGCGGCUGCAGAGGGAGCUGCUGCUGACUUGAACAUUCAGCAUCACCAAAACACAACAGCACCGCCUAGCUCGUUUUGUCAAUGUGGUUUUUCCACUAUUAUUUCUGCAACGCUGGAGGCAUGCAGACAGAAGGGAUGCAACCUGCAGGAUAUGCCAGGGCUUGUCUAAAAAUAUUUGACACCUGUUCUGUGUUCCGCACACUGGUCAUAUUUUGUCAGUGAAGCGGGCGAUGGAACCACUCAGGUAAAUCCCUGGCCCCUCCCCCUCUUUUCUACCUGCAUGAAAAUGUGGGAGCCCUGCACCGCUGUCUGCUUGAGCGACACUAACUCCUCCCAUUCCUGGGCCAGCCUGGUAGAAACAGUGUCUGCGCUGCUUUUCCCAACAGCACGGCACUUUCUUUUAUUUUAUUUUCAAUUUUAAUUUUUGUUUUUUUGAGACAGUCUCACUAUGUAGUCCGGGCUGGCCUCCAACUCACAGUGAUCCUCCUGUCUCAGCCUCUCCAGUGCUUGGGGCACAGGAAUGCGCCACAAGGCCUGGCUGUUCUUCACUUUUCUGAUUUCAUAGGGCAGCAAACAUGGCCAAAAUUCUGGACUUCAUUGCUUUAAAUUCUAUAAUCCUCUCAG
Molecule: long non-coding RNA, 910 nt
Filed under: Heterocephalus glaber (naked mole-rat)
Lineage: Eukaryota; Metazoa; Chordata; Mammalia; Rodentia; Bathyergidae
Description: lncRNA (ENSHGLG00100033944.1)
Source: RNAcentral